This 1006-nucleotide ribosomal RNA is filed under the name Lactiplantibacillus plantarum. RNAcentral's name for it is "bacterial SSU rRNA". It matches the Rfam family "Bacterial small subunit ribosomal RNA", at positions 67 to 1061 of the family's 1533-position model. The record is from RNAcentral. Lineage: Bacteria; Bacillati; Bacillota; Bacilli; Lactobacillales; Lactobacillaceae.
CUUGCAUCAUGAUUUACAUUUGAGUGAGUGGCGAACUGGUGAGUAACACGUGGGAAACCUGCCCAGAAGCGGGGGAUAACACCUGGAAACAGAUGCUAAUACCGCAUAACAACUUGGACCGCAUGGUCCGAGUUUGAAAGAUGGCUUCGGCUAUCACUUUUGGAUGGUCCCGCGGCGUAUAGCUAGAUGGUGAGGUAACGGCUCACCAUGGCAAUGAUACGUAGCCGACCUGAGAGGGUAAUCGGCCACAUUGGGACUGAGACACGGCCCAAACUCCUACGGGAGGCAGCAGUAGGGAAUCUUCCACAAUGGACGAAAGUCUGAUGGAGCAACGCCGCGUGAGUGAAGAAGGGUUUCGGCUCGUAAAACUCUGUUGUUAAAGAAGAACAUAUCUGAGAGUAACUGUUCAGGUAUUGACGGUAUUUAACCAGAAAGCCACGGCUAACUACGUGCCAGCAGCCGCGGUAAUACGUAGGUGGCAAGCGUUGUCCGGAUUUAUUGGGCGUAAAGCGAGCGCAGGCGGUUUUUUAAGUCUGAUGUGAAAGCCUUCGGCUCAACCGAAGAAGUGCAUCGGAAACUGGGAAACUUGAGUGCAGAAGAGGACAGUGGAACUCCAUGUGUAGCGGUGAAAUGCGUAGAUAUAUGGAAGAACACCAGUGGCGAAGGCGGCUGUCUGGUCUGUAACUGACGCUGAGGCUCGAAAGUAUGGGUAGCAAACAGGAUUAGAUACCCUGGUAGUCCAUACCGUAAACGAUGAAUGCUAAGUGUUGGAGGGUUUCCGCCCUUCAGUGCUGCAGCUAACGCAUUAAGCAUUCCGCCUGGGGAGUACGGCCGCAAGGCUGAAACUCAAAGGAAUUGACGGGGGCCCGCACAAGCGGUGGAGCAUGUGGUUUAAUUCGAAGCUACGCGAAGAACCUUACCAGGUCUUGACAUACUAUGCAAAUCUAAGAGAUUAGACGUUCCCUUCGGGGACAUGGAUACAGGUGGUGCAUGGUGUCGUCAGCUC